This 422-nucleotide ribosomal RNA is filed under the name uncultured bacterium. Its description in RNAcentral is "bacterial SSU rRNA". It matches the Rfam family "Bacterial small subunit ribosomal RNA", at positions 355 to 775 of the family's 1533-position model. The record is from RNAcentral.
UAGGGAAUAUUGGACAAUGGGUGCAAGCCUGAUCCAGCCAUGCCGCGUGCAGGAAGAAGGCCUUCUGGGUUGUAAACUGCUUUUGCCGGGGGAUAAAAUAGUCUUGCGAGACGAAUUGAAGGUACCCGGUGAAUAAGCCACGGCUAACUACGUGCCAGCAGCCGCGGUAAUACGUAGGUGGCAAGCGUUGUCCGGAUUUAUUGGGUUUAAAGGGUGCGUAGGCGGUCUUAUAAGUCAGUUGUGAAAUACGGCAGCUUAACUGUCGAGGUGCAAUUGAUACUGUAAGACUUGAGUACUGUUGAGGUAGGCGGAAUGGACGGUGUAGCGGUGAAAUGCUUAGAGAUCGUCCAGAACACCGAUAGCGAAGGCAGCUUACUAAAGAGUAACUGACGCUGAGGCACGAAAGUGUGGGGAUCAAACAG